Molecule: small nuclear RNA, 108 nt
Organism: Eptesicus fuscus (big brown bat)
Lineage: Eukaryota; Metazoa; Chordata; Mammalia; Chiroptera; Vespertilionidae
Source: RefSeq, a predicted model, not a curated record
GUGCUCGCUUCGGCAGCAUGUAUACUAAAAUUGGGCCGACACAGAGAAGAUUAGCAUGGCCCCUGCACAAGAAAAAAAAAAAAAAAAAGAGUAGAGAUGAAGUGCUUU